UGAAAUGCCAAUGGCAGGAUCUUAUAUUAUUUCUAAGAGCACGAAGCAAGAGCUCCUUCUGCAAAUCCCAUUAAUAACUGCUUUGAAACUGUAGCCUGCAAAGCCCAUUAAAUCCAGAAAGAUAUAUUUAAAAGAAAAAAUAAAAAGUAUUUGAACUUUGCAGUGUCUGGGAGGCCACUUUAAUUGAAUGGCAAACAGAGCAUUUCUAAUCCAUCCCAGGCGAGAGAAGAGAGAGCAGAAAGGACACGCGCUGAAAAGAGAAGGAAAACAAAUACCAGGAAGGCGCUCAGUGCCGCUCCAGCAGACCUCGCAGCUGCUUCAGAACGGGCAUCCAGACUUUUCAAGGUCUCUGUGGGCAAUAACACGGCCCUUGUGCCACGGCCAGCAGGCAGGGAGCAGAGGUCACCGGGGCAGGGAAGGCAUUGCAAGAGAUGGAAAUGGGAGCUGAAGCAAACACAAGUGGUCUCAGCCACACCAAGCGUUGCAGCAGGAUGAACAAUUGAUUCCUUGCUGUCUUGGCCCAAGAACAGCUGCUAAUACCGAUGGAAAGAGACAGCGCUGUGCACGGCAACGUGCACUCAUGCAGCCCUUCCCAGAAUGGCUGAAACCCCUGAAGAAGGCCCUGGAGAUGCCCUGUCCCACCCCCAGCUCCAGUGGGGCCAUCUAGGGCUGGGUGCUCAGUGCUUGGUCCAGGCCUUGGAAAGACCCAAACGAGGUUAUGUUGUACUCUAACGAACUGCUCAGGGGAGGAGAGGUCCCUUUGGUCUACAUGAACAUCAACAGAAGUCUCAUCUGGGUUUGCUUGCUUCCUACACCUACUUAAGGGCAAUUGCCUUUUGCUGUUGUCAUCUGCUGUGUAACUUUAAUUGCACUCAGAAGGGCACUUUGGAAAACAGACCCAACCAAGUUUAGAGAAUUCAAUUCUCUUUGUGCUCCUUUAAGGUGGAUUAAAUGAGACUAAUGUGGUUUAAAAGUUCUUAAGCCACACAAUUAAAGCCAUUACAACUCGGUAGUUCUGCAAUACUGACUUCACAACUGAAGUACAAUUGGUUUUCUCAGGACUAAUGGAAAUUCCUGCAUUUCUAACGGGAGACAUUUAGCAAAGACAUAUGUUUUUUAGAUAUUCUCUCUCAUUUGUAAAUACUCUACAGUACUUAUGCCAUGGGUGUAAGGCAGCUUUCACCCCAGCACAGCUGGUUUUCCUGGUCCUUGUCCAGCAGUGCAUCUCAUGGACCCCGUUGUGCCUUUGCUGAGCUUUCUCACUGCCUGCUGCUUAAAAGCUCCGGGAGGUUUAAUAAUAGAUAACAACUCAUAUAGCAUCAGCACGAUUAAACACUCAGGCAAAGAUUACCCAAGUUAAAAUGACCAGCUGUCCAAAUUCAGAGGAGACAACUCUGACUUUUUAGGCUCAUCAGACUGGCUUACCCAAGCAUCCAUUUCGUCUCACUGUUACACUAGGGCUUGCCUUUCUAUUAGCAGCUGUUCUGGUUCUCCUCCUGCAAAACGCAACACACCGCUCCACUCCAGCAGAGCAGCUCACUGCUGUUAGCAGGGUUUAUUUUAUAGAAAGGCUCCAAAGCCCCAGGUGGGACCAAAGCACCUGGUCCUGGUGACUCCCUACAUUCCCGUACCAUCAGAGUGCCGGUCCCAUUCAUCUCUUUCUCACCUCAAACAGUGGGUGUCUUCUCCAACCUCAAUGAUUGUAUGGUUCUAUAAUUCUAUAUGUAAUGCCCUACACGAAAUUAAUAAACCAUGGCACUUGUCACA
This is a long non-coding RNA of Numida meleagris (helmeted guineafowl), 1767 nucleotides long. The record is from Ensembl. NCBI's taxonomy places the organism in Eukaryota, Metazoa, Chordata, Aves, Galliformes, Numididae.